RNAcentral lists this ribosomal RNA (491 nucleotides) under uncultured bacterium. RNAcentral describes it as "partial 16S ribosomal RNA". It matches the Rfam family "Bacterial small subunit ribosomal RNA", at positions 29 to 506 of the family's 1533-position model. The record is from RNAcentral.
AGUGAACGCUGGCGGUAGGCCUAGCACAUGCAAGUCGAACGGCAGCACAGUAAGAGCUUGCUCUUACGGGUGGCGAGUGGCGGACGGGUGAGGAAUACAUCGGAAUCUACUUUUUCGUGGGGGAUAACGUAGGGAAACUUACGCUAAUACCGCAUACGACCUACGGGUGAAAGCAGGGGAUCUUCGGACCUUGCGCGAUUGAAUGAGCCGAUGUUGGAUUAGCUAGUUGGCGGGGUAAAGGCCCACCAAGGCGACGAUCCGUAGCUGGUCUGAGAGGAUGAUCAGCCACACUGGAACUGAGACACGGUCCAGACUCCUACGGGAGGCAGCAGUGGGGAAUAUUGGACAGUGGGCGCAAGCCUGAUCCAGCCAUACCGCGUGGGUGAAGAAGGCCUUCGGGUUGUAAAGCCCUUUUGUUGGGAAAGAAAAGCAGCAGGUUAAUACCCCGCUGUUCUGACGGUACCCAAAGAAUAAGCACCGGCUAACUUCGU